RNAcentral lists this ribosomal RNA (250 nucleotides) under uncultured bacterium. RNAcentral's name for it is "partial 16S ribosomal RNA". It matches the Rfam family "Bacterial small subunit ribosomal RNA", at positions 524 to 773 of the family's 1533-position model. RNAcentral also lists the same sequence under 2 other names. The record is from RNAcentral.
UACGGAGGGUGCAAGCGUUACUCGGAAUCACUGGGCGUAAAGAGCGUGUAGGCGGAUUGAUAAGUUUGAAGUGAAAUCCUAUAGCUUAACUAUAGAACUGCUUUGAAAACUGUUAAUCUAGAAUGUGGGAGAGGUAGAUGGAAUUUCUGGUGUAGGGGUAAAAUCCGUAGAGAUCAGAAGGAAUACCGAUUGCGAAGGCGAUCUACUGGAACAAUAUUGACGCUGAGACGCGAAAGCGUGGGGAGCAAAC